RNAcentral lists this ribosomal RNA (645 nucleotides) under Triticum aestivum (bread wheat). RNAcentral describes it as "partial small subunit ribosomal RNA". The record is from RNAcentral. Lineage: Eukaryota; Viridiplantae; Streptophyta; Magnoliopsida; Poales; Poaceae.
AUGCCUGGUUCACAUGAUGAAUCCUUUGUGCAGGGAGUUCUAGUGAUGCAUUAUACAAGGAGCUAUAUGGCAUAUGCUUGCGCUGGGCCGUUGGUGCUUCGCCAAGGUGAAAGAGUUUACUACUUCCACAUGGACAUAUGGAACAGGAAACCACGCAGACCAGAGGAGAGGAAAUGCAGAUGCGAUGUGUACUUUCGCAAGGAGCAACUUGAAACUGAAGUAGCGAGGCAGGAACCGCGGCCGUGGGGCAGGUGGAGGGGACCUGCUGCCAGGGUCGAAGCUAGGGAAGACCGAGGGGAGUCGAUUAGGAUGGAGCGCAACAGGGUAGGAAGCUAUCCAGAGUCAGCUGCAGGCAUGCCACCUUGGACCACGGGGAGGCCACCACCGUGUAUCCGCCUUGGAGGCCAGGGUCGGAGCUGGAGCCGAGGAGGAUCCAUGAGGAGAGGAUGGCACGCGGCUCUCCCAAUCCAUGGUGUAGCCUGCGCGCACCUCCCAGCCAGCGAGCCGGAGCGGCAACCUAGCACGCCGUGGGAUCUCGGGUGGAGGCUCGAGGGCAACAUUAGGAGGAGAGAUGGAGACCAAAAAGUACACAUGAGAGAAGAACACAACAAGGAGCUACUUAUAGGCAAGCAAAGAAGGACCUAG